This 358-nucleotide unclassified non-coding RNA is filed under the name soil metagenome. RNAcentral's name for it is "partial contains 5.8S ribosomal RNA, internal transcribed spacer 2, and large subunit ribosomal RNA". The stretch from base 1 to 120 matches the Rfam family "5.8S ribosomal RNA", at positions 35 to 154 of the family's 154-position model. The record is from RNAcentral.
GAUGAAGAACGCAGCGAAAUGCGAUAAGUAAUGUGAAUUGCAGAAUUCAGUGAAUCAUCGAAUCUUUGAACGCACAUUGCGCCCGUCAGUAUUCUGGCGGGCAUGCCUGUUCGAGCGUCAUUACGCCCCUCAAGUCCCCUGUGGACUUGGUGUUGGGGAUCGGCGAGGCUGGUUUUCCAGCACAGCCGUCCCUUAAAUUAAUUGGCGGUCUCGCCGUGGCCCUCCUCUGCGCAGUAGUAAAACACUCGCAACAGGAGCCCGGCGCGGUCCACUGCCGUAAAACCCCCCAACUUUUUAUAGUUGACCUCGAAUCACGUAGGACUACCCGCUGAACUUAAGCAUAUCAAUAAGCGGAGGA